Molecule: ribosomal RNA, 743 nt
Filed under: uncultured eukaryote
Lineage: Eukaryota
Description: SSU rRNA
Rfam family: Eukaryotic small subunit ribosomal RNA
Source: RNAcentral
GGUGUGCACUGUCGUGUCCCGGUCUACGUCUGGUUUCAAUCUAUAGUGCUCUUAACCGGGUGCUAUAGAAUGCCAGAAAGUUUACUCUGGAAAAAAUUAGAGUGCUUAAAGCAAGCCGUUGUGCUUGAAUACUGUGCAUGGAAUAAUGGAAUAGGACCUCGAUCUUAUUUUGUUGGUUUUCGGAGUCGAGGUAAUGAUUAAGAAGGAACAGACGGCGGCAUUCGUAUGCGCCGUUAGAGGUGAAAUUCUUGGAUCGGCGGCAAGACGAACAACUGCGAAAGCAUUUGCCAAGGAUGUUUUCAUUAAUCAAGAACGAAAGUCAGAGGUUCGAAGACGAUCAGAUACCGUCGUAGUUCUGACCAUAAACGAUGCCAACUGGCGAUCCGCCGUAGUCUGGCUUAAAGGACUCGGCGGGCAGCCUCCGGGAAACCUAAGUCUAUGGGUUCCGGGGGAAGUAUGGUUGCAAAGCUGAAACUUAAAGGAAUUGACGGAAGGGCACCACCAGGAGUGGAGCCUGCGGCUUAAUUUGACUCAACACGGGAAAACUCACCCGGCCAGGACACCGUAAGGAUUGACAGACUGAGAGCUCUUUCUUGAUUCGGUGGGUGGUGGUGCAUGGCCGUUCUUAGUUGGUGGAGCGAUUUGUCUGGUUAAUUCCGAUAACGAACGAGACUCUAGCCUGCUAAAUAGACGGGCGAUCCCAUUGUGGGUCGACCCGAUCAGCUUCUUAGAGGGACAAGUGG